RNAcentral lists this non-coding RNA (27 nucleotides) under Mus musculus (house mouse). The record is from RNAcentral. Lineage: Eukaryota; Metazoa; Chordata; Mammalia; Rodentia; Muridae.
UGGUAUCACACGGUGGUGAGGUAAUGG